Molecule: ribosomal RNA, 378 nt
Filed under: uncultured bacterium
Lineage: Bacteria
Description: bacterial SSU rRNA
Rfam family: Bacterial small subunit ribosomal RNA
Source: RNAcentral
AUUGAACGCUGGCGGAAUGCUUUACACAUGCAAGUCGAACGGUAGAGGGGGCAACCCCUCGAGAGUGGCGAACGGGUGAGUAAUAUAUCGGAACGUGCCCAGUCGUGGGGGAUAACGUAGCGAAAGUUACGCUAAUACCGCAUACGAUCUACGGAUGAAAGCGGGGGAUCGCAAGACCUCGCGCGAUUGGAGCGGCCGAUAUCAGAUUAGGUAGUUGGUGGGGUAAAGGCUCACCAAGCCAACGAUCUGUAGCUGGUCUGAGAGGACGACCAGCCACACUGGAACUGAGACACGGUCCAGACUCCUACGGGAGGCAGCAGUGGGGAAUUUUGGACAAUGGACGCAAGUCUGAUCCAGCCAUUCCGCGUGCAGGAUGAA